UGAUUCGGCCGCUUCAAUGUCUGUGCUGGGAUCUAUGAAACCCUGAAGAGCAGCUGACACGAUAAAACAGAUGGCCCCGUGACCGGAAAUCUCAGAAGGGCUGACGUGGCCAGAGAAAAGGCUGCUUUGGGCUACAGUUGGAAGGGAGCAGAGAAAGACCUAUGAGAAGCUGCGACAAGACGUAGCUUCUGAACUCCUUUCAAUACAACCCACUUGGCAGCCACACUGAUGAAGUGGUGUUGUCAUGCAAGAUGAGGUCAACUUUCCAUCCUUGGCUUAAGGUAUAAUUUUCAGGUGCUUGAAUUUACGUAUAA
This 314-nucleotide long non-coding RNA is filed under the name Callithrix jacchus (white-tufted-ear marmoset). Its description in RNAcentral is "lncRNA (ENSCJAG00000074236.1)". Lineage: Eukaryota; Metazoa; Chordata; Mammalia; Primates; Cebidae. The record is from RNAcentral.